UAAACUGAAUGAAGUUGGUGCUGCCAUUUACCAAAAGCCAAUGUCGAAUGAUUGCUACAACCAAAGAUCUCAAAACGAGCCACCUCUCUGCAAAGACUCUGAUGAUCAAAACGCCGCUUGGUAGCUUAUCUAUUCCCUUUCUCACAUCAAUGCAAUGGAACUUUGUUGCUAAAGUAUAUGAUUGCAGGAAUGUUCCACUUGAGGCAUGUAUGCACAAAGUGACAGAAGACUCAUCAAAACGCGGAGCAGUUUGGCCUGAGAAUUGGCCAGAGAGAGUAGAGACUGUUCCUCAGUGGUUGGAUUCUCAGGAAGGUGUGUAUGGAAAACCUGCACAAGAGGAUUUCACAGCAGACCAAGAACGUUGGAAGACUAUUGUGUCGAAGUCAUACCUCAACGGUAUGGGAAUCGAUUGGUCUUAUGUCAGAAAUGUGAUGGACAUGAGAGCUGUCUAUGGAGGGUAAGUACUGAAAAAAAAACAUUCACUAAUAUCAAACUGACUCCAUGUAUUUGUUAUUAAAUGAUCUCUCUCUUUCUUGGUUUCAGUUUUGCUGCUGCUUUGAAGGAUCUGAAGCUGUGGGUGAUGAAUGUAGUUCCUAUCGACUCAGCUGAUACGCUUCCAAUUAUAUACGAACGUGGUUUGUUUGGAAUCUACCAUGACUGGUGUGAAUCAUUCAGCACUUACCCUCGAACUUACGACCUUCUUCAUGCUGAUCAUCUUUUCUCUGCACUGAAGAAGAGGUAUGUAGAUAUACAGUACACUCACAUAUCUCUGUGGCCUUUUCUUGAUUGCAAAAUCUGAUGAUUGUAUGUAUAAAACAACACUCAUUCAGGUGCAGCUUGGUAUCGGCAAUGGCUGAAGUGGACAGGAUUCUUAGGCCACAAGGAACUUUUAUAGUAAGAGAUGACAUGGAAACAAUAGGAGAAAUCGAGAAGAUGGUGAAAUCGAUGAAGUGGAAUGUAAGAAUGACACAUUCCAAAGAUGGAGAAGGAGUGCUCUCUGUUCAAAAGUCAUUGUGGCGUCCUUCAGAGGUCGAGACAGUUACAUGGGCAAUAGCCUGAGGUGAAUGGAAACUAAGAGGAAGAAUAAAAUGGUUUUUUUUACUUUCUAUAGUUUCAUAAUUAAGUUUUUUUCUUUUAUGAUCACAUUGAUUGUUACUUGUAUUAGUCCAAUAUUUGUAUCCCCUUUUCCUUUUGCAUUGACAAAAAUUGUAUACAAGACAAUUGUCUCAAAACUGUAAACUUAUGAGUUUAUGGUUUGGUCCUAAGCACCUAUGAAAAGUCAUAUAUGAAAUGUGAUAUAAGCAAGGACAUGCAUAUAUAAACAUAUUUGUAACUAUUCUAGAAAGUAAAAUAUAAAUAUGACCUUGCAACAGGUCAGAUUAUACAUGUGUUUUAAGUUUAAGAAAGAAAAACAAACAGUUUAGAAACAAGAUUUUAAUCAAACAAAACAUUCAGUCUCAUCAUCUCUUGUAAGGCUCAAAAGGAUAUCUCUGAAACUCAGAUCCAAAGGUGAUAGAUUCCUCAUCGAGUUUCUUCUUCAACCUCCUCCAAGUCCUCAACUUAUUAGACUGUAUUAACCCUUUAUACAACGUCUCAAACGUUAGCUUCUGCGGCAAGAAACCUCUCUCUAUCAUCUCCACAAAGUACCCACAAGCCUCUUUCCAUUUAUCCUUCCCACACAACCCAUGAACCAAACAAGUAUACGAAUCCAAAUCCGGACCCGUCUCGCUUCCUUUAAGAUCAUCCCAAAUCUCUCCCACAAUCUCCAUCUUCCCCAAAAGAUGAACACGAGGCGCAGGUUCAGUUUGCUCUGGAACGUGGUAUCCCUGCAAUGUCAAAUGUUAUGGGAACCAAGAGAUUGCCUUUCCCAGGAUCUGUUUUCGAUCUUAUCCAUUGUGCUCGUUGUAGAGUCCCUUGGCAUAUUGAAGGUGGUAAACUACUUCUGGAACUGAACCGUGCAUUGAGACCGGGUGGUUUCUUUGUCUGGUCGGCAACUCCAGUUUACAGGAAGACCGAAGAAGACGUUGGCAUAUGGAAAGGUUGGAAACUUUGUUCCCUUUUAUUUGCAACUGGUUCUUAACUAACAUGUGAGAUGUUUCUUUAUGUUCUGUAGCUAUGUCGAAGCUAACAAAGGCAAUGUGCUGGAAACUAAUGACGAUUAAGAAAGAUAAACUGAAUGAAGUUGGUGCUGCCAUUUACCAAAAGCCAAUGUCGAAUGAUUGCUACAACCAAAGAUCUCAAAACGAGCCACCUCUCUGCAAAGACUCUGAUGAUCAAAACGCCGCUUGGUAGCUUAUCUAUUCCCUUUCUCACAUCAAUGCAAUGGAACUUUGUUGCUAAAGUAUAUGAUUGCAGGAAUGUUCCACUUGAGGCAUGU
This 2377-nucleotide long non-coding RNA is filed under the name Brassica napus (rape). RNAcentral describes it as "long non-coding RNA (BNAP_LNC005871)". Lineage: Eukaryota; Viridiplantae; Streptophyta; Magnoliopsida; Brassicales; Brassicaceae. The record is from RNAcentral.